GGAUUCCCCUAGUAACUGCGAGUGAAGCGGGAAAAGCUCAAAUUUAAAAUCUGGCAUUCAUUGUCCGAGUUGUAAUUUAGAGAAGCGUUAUCCGUGUUGGACCGUGUACAAGUCUCCUGGAACGGAGCGUCAUAGAGGGUGAGAAUCCCGUCCAUGGCACGGACUACCAAUGCAUUGUGAUGCGCUCUCGAAGAGUCGUGUUGUUUGGGAAUGCAGCACAAAAUGGGUGGUAAAUUCCAUCUAAAGCUAAAUAUAGGCGAGAGACCGAUAGCGAACAAGUACCGUGAGGGAAAGAUGAAAAGAACUUUGGAAAGAGAGUUAAACAGUACGUGAAAUUGUUGAAAGGGAAACGCUUGAAGUCAGUCGCGUUGUUCAGGGAUCAGCCUUGCUCUGCUUGGUGUACUUCCUGUUCAACGGGUCAGCAUCAGUUUCGACCGCUGGAAAAAGUGCGCAGGAAUGUGGUCUCCUCGGAGAUGUUAUAGCCUGUGUUCGUAUACAGCGGUUGGGACUGAGGAAUCAGCACUCGAUGCUUGGGAUGCUGGCAUAAUGGCUUUAAGCGACCCGUCUUGAAACACGGACCAAGGAGUCUAACAUGCCCGCGAGUGUUUGGGUGAAAAACCCGAGCGCGUAAUGAAAGUGAAAAGUUGGGAUCUCUGUCGUGGAGAGCACCGACGCCCGGACCAGAAGUUUACGGACGGAUCUGCGGUAGAGCGUGUAUGUUGGGACCCGAAAGAUGGUGAACUAUGCCUGAAUAGGGCGAAGCCAGAGGAAACUCUGGUGGAGGCUCGUAGCGAUUCUGACGUGCAAAUCGAUCGUCGAAUUUGGGUAUAGGGG
RNAcentral lists this ribosomal RNA (834 nucleotides) under Pterula aff. epiphylloides. Its description in RNAcentral is "eukaryotic LSU rRNA". It matches the Rfam family "Eukaryotic large subunit ribosomal RNA", at positions 72 to 923 of the family's 3401-position model. The record is from RNAcentral. Lineage: Eukaryota; Fungi; Basidiomycota; Agaricomycetes; Agaricales; Pterulaceae.